Molecule: transfer RNA, 71 nt
Filed under: Loxodonta africana (African savanna elephant)
Lineage: Eukaryota; Metazoa; Chordata; Mammalia; Proboscidea; Elephantidae
Rfam family: tRNA
About the family: Transfer RNA (tRNA) molecules are approximately 80 nucleotides in length.
Source: Rfam by way of RNAcentral
GCAGUGGUGGUUCAGGGGUAGAAUUCUCGCUUUGCAUGUGGGAGACUCAGGUUCGAUUCCCGGCAGAUACA